GUCAUCCUUUUAUAAGCUACCUUAGAUCCAUUAGCCCAACAGAUCCAUUCUGUUGUAAACGCUUAAAGCCCAAUUUAGGACCAAUAGAGUUUCGGUAUAGACACGUUAAUUCCACAACCUCUACCUUGUUUUCAUCAAAACUUAUCAUUUCAGACAACCCUCCAAAAGCUUAGUGAAUCUCUGACGAACUCCUUUUGUCUUCUACUCUUUUACGACUUAUCUUGACGUCUCUCUUUCAUCACAUAUGAUGAAACUGAGCUACACAACACAGCUACACCUUCAAGAUAUCACAUUUUAUAUUCUUGUUUCAAUUCCCUUUCUUCCCAAGUCUGAACCGCCAAACUGACAACCCCUUCUUCCGACUUCCCUAACCCUUUAGGAUGACAAAGUUGGCCGCAUAUCGGCUCAAGCUUCGGCUUACACCUCUGGUAAGAGAAUCAUCGAGACAUCUCAUCAGCCGCAUGUUGCAUGCAGGGCCGGCUCAUAAACAUUUUAGGCCCCUGGGCAAAAACAAAUUAUAUAGCCUUUUGGCAAUUUUUUUUUGAAAAUCAAGUAAAAACUAAAAUUUAAUGUAAUUAUUUAAGCUAUUAUAUUAUUUUGUAAGGAAAUUUUCAAGAUAAUUUAAUUUUUAAAAUAGAUAUAACUAAAUUUAGUUAAAAAUAUUUAUAUUUACUUUUUUGUUUAUUAAAAAUGCAAACAAAUUGUAAAAAAAAAAUUGGACCCCUGGGCCCCGGGGCGGUCGCACUCCCCGCCCUACCAUCUAAGCAGCCCCUGGUUGCAUGGAACCUGCGAACUUUGACAAACACCAAAUCCUUCUCCAGUGUCUUCCCAAGUACGGUCUUUGUUAGGAUAUCAGCUAGGUUUAGCGUAGUAUGAAUCUUUACCAUUAUCCUGCUUCCAUCGGCAAUUACAUUUCAAAUAAAAUUGAACCUAUGUGUUUAGUUCUUUUGUAAAAGCAUCUAUUCUUUACCAAAAAUAUAGCUGAUUGUGAUUCACAAUUAACUUUAACUGCCCAUGUAUCAUGACUUAGAUCUUCACACAUACCCUUAAUCCAUAAGAACUAGUCUUCGUACUGAGACUAUAACUCUUAAGGAAGAAAAUCGAUUCUAAUGAAAUCAUGGCUGGAAUUGAUAUCUUAUUUAAAUAGAAAGAUUUCAAAUAUCUGGAAUUUAUUUUUAUAUAUUAUAUGGAUGAUCCGAACCGCAAGGAAUACCUAUUUAGUAGCUUCAGUUAAGGUCAUCUACUCUGACUAGCUCUAUAGUAAAGAGAGAAAUUAUUGGUUCGAGCUCCGAUCUCCAGCUAGUAGUAUUACCUCAUACGUGAAAAUAUAGCCAGUAAUUAAUCUCAUUUUGUGGAGAUCAGUUGUAUAAUCUACAUCACAGAAUCCUUCCACCUCAUGACUUUGCUUCUUUCAAACAGUUCAAGGAAAAAUCUUCCUCAAAUGUACAUUAAAAUCCAUUUCACUUUCUCUUAGUGUUCUCUAUCUGAAUUUCCCAUAAACCUGCUCACAAUCACAGAAUCCCUCCAACUGCACAUGCAUACAUAAUUUCUCUCAUUAACUCUGGUUCCUCUUUGCUUCUUCUUAACUCAUACUUUUCAGGUUGAAUUGAUACCCUAAUUGGAGUAGAAAUUGGUUUGCAAUACGCAAUGUUCAAAGUUGAGAGCACAUGUUCUAAUUAUUUUCUUUGAGAAAACUUCAGUGAACCUUCUUCAGAAUUUCUUGUACUAUAUACACACCUAAGAUCCUUGUUGCAGCUCACAAAUAUUUCAUUUCAUACUUGUGAGAAUCAUUUGGCAACCAAUCUCGUCUUGAACCUUUGUUGGUCAACUCAUGAGAUGUCUAGUUUCUUUCUAUAAACCCACUUGCAUCCAAUUACCAUUUUCUUUCUUGUCUCUUCACAAUAUCUCAAGUAGCAUUUCUGUCAAGCGAAUUAA
Brassica napus (rape) is the source of this 1935-nucleotide long non-coding RNA. RefSeq lists it as uncharacterized. The transcript has 2 exons. The record is from RefSeq and is a predicted model, not a curated record. NCBI's taxonomy places the organism in Eukaryota, Viridiplantae, Streptophyta, Magnoliopsida, Brassicales, Brassicaceae.